This 460-nucleotide ribosomal RNA is filed under the name uncultured bacterium. RNAcentral describes it as "partial 16S ribosomal RNA". It matches the Rfam family "Bacterial small subunit ribosomal RNA", at positions 338 to 795 of the family's 1533-position model. The record is from RNAcentral.
CCUACGGGCGGCAGCAGUGAGGAAUAUUGGUCAAUGGGCGUAAGCCUGAACCAGCCAAGUCGCGUGAGGGAUGAAGGUUCUAUGGAUCGUAAACCUCUUUUAUAAGGGAAUAAAGUGUGGGACGUGUCCUGUUUUGUAUGUACCUUAUGAAUAAGGAUCGGCUAACUCCGUGCCAGCAGCCGCGGUAAUACGGAGGAGCCGAGCGUUAUCCGGAUUUAUUGGGUUUAAAGGGUGCGUAGGCGGCCUUUUAAGUCAGCGGUGAAAGUCUGUGGCUCAACCAUAGAAUUGCCGUUGAAACUGGGAGGCUUGAGUAUGUUUGAGGCAGGCGGAAGGCGUGGUGUAGCGGUGAAAUGCUGAGAUAUCACGCAGAACCCCGAUUGCGAAGGCAGCCUGCCAAGCCAUGACUGACGCUGAUGCACGAAAGCGUGGGGAUCAAACAGGAUUAGAUACCCGUGUAGUA